ACUCUGUAUCCAGAGUAAGGUUUACUGACUUGGCGAGAGUGGGUUGGAAGCCAUCUUUCUUUUGCUGGCCGUUUUGUUUACAAACAUUACCGUGCAGCAGAAAAAAGCAAAAUAAAUUUCAUCCGCAACAAGAUAAAACUGCAGUGGAAAGAAAUCGAAAUACAUAAUGCGUUGGUGCUGUGCGGUCAGCAGAUGCACAAAUAAAAAAUCAUCCACCAAGGAAAAUCCUGGCAUCAUAUACCACAGAUUUCCAGCAGAUAAAGCAAGAAGAGCGAAAUGGGUGAGUUUUUGCGGACGUGGGGAAACGUAGACCCCUGUACCGAGUCAAGGAAUUUGUUCCAGACACUUUCAUGCUACCAGUUACGAUUCAAACGUGAAACAUCGUCGGCAGCUCAUUUCAAACGCGAUUCCAGUGCUUAAUCCAUCAUCCGAUCUCGGUCAACAACAGCGGCCAAUUUUUCAACAUCCGAGGGGCAAGUUGCAACCAAGUGAUAAUUAUAAUGCACAUCCAGAGGAAUCCAUUCGCGCUCGAGCCAAUCUGUCUGGAGAACUUAAACAGAACCAGCCCACUAUGCAAAAUACUGCUCCACAACGAAAGGCACCCUCCUCCCAGAACAACAACCAGCAAAAACAAUUUUCUCAUCCCUUAUCCGAGGCUUCUGCAUUGUUUACAUUGCCUGCUCAGCAUAUAACUCCAGUUUCGUCGCAUCAGCACAGUUCAGUUUCACAGCAUUCAACUCAAGUAUGACCUCAAGAACAUGUUGCAGUAUCCAGCCACUAUCAACAUCAUAAUAUGAUUUCAAAAGGACACAUGUUUAUGGAUAACUUCCAGAUCCUGAGCGUAAUUCCUUCUUUUGAUGAAAAUCUUAGCUUUUUGGAAGAAACUAUUGUUGCCGACGACUCAGCUCUCGGUUCCGAAAAUAGCUUGGAGACGUCUCUUAUUUGUUAUCCGGUGGCCUCCGAUCCAGUGAAUUCGUUUGGAAAAUCCGACCAGAAUUACCACACUUCUUCGGUGACCGUUUGUGGUACGUAUUCGAUCCAUAUGGAUUUCUGUUGGUGGUGGCUUAUUGUAUAAAAGUUUCAAAAUUUCAGAACCUGAAUGUUUUUAACGCAAUAUACAUUUUUGAUGACAUAAACAAUGUUGUCAGACGAGCAGUAUGUAUGUAUUUAAGAAUUGCGUAAUGAUAGUUAUACUUUCCACGUUUUCUACUUGUAAAAACAACAAUGCUUUAUCUGUAUUCCUCAUAUAAAAAUGACACACAGUCGCCUUUGGUUUUGUAUGUAUGUUUCCCUCUGGCAUAACAGCUAAGAUAUGAGUUGCAAUUUUUGAUUAUUUUUUUAUUGUAAAAUACAAAUUUAAUUUUGAACGAUUAGCUUUAGACUGGACAAAUUUGUUCUACAAUUUUCAACGUGGAUAUAUGCUUCCCUCUGGCUUAACAGAUAAGAUAUAUUUUUCCUGCUAGCUUAACAGCUAAGAUACAAGAUGCAUUUUGGGGUUUCUUAUUGAUUGAAAAAUAAAAGUUCAAUUUUAAGCGAUGGUUUAAACCUGUUUAAACCCUUAGCUUUUGGGUGGGCAAAUUGGUUCUACGGUUUUCAACGUGGAUAUAUUUUUUCCCGCUAGCUUAACAGCUAAAAUAGAAAAUAUCUUUUUGAGUUUCUUUUUGGUUAUAAAACGAAAAUUUAAUUCUGAAUGAUCGUAUACUUGUGGUUUUAAUUCAUUAUUUUGAUUUAUUUUUUGACGUUGGAUAACGUCUUACGGCAACAUACUG
This is a long non-coding RNA of Aedes aegypti (yellow fever mosquito), 1769 nucleotides long. RefSeq lists it as uncharacterized. Lineage: Eukaryota; Metazoa; Arthropoda; Insecta; Diptera; Culicidae. The transcript has 4 exons. The record is from RefSeq and is a predicted model, not a curated record.